Molecule: non-coding RNA, 45 nt
Filed under: Schistosoma mattheei
Lineage: Eukaryota; Metazoa; Platyhelminthes; Trematoda; Strigeidida; Schistosomatidae
Source: RNAcentral
AUCCAGCCGACGAGUCCCAAACAGGACGAAACGCGCGUUCUGGAU